Molecule: ribosomal RNA, 376 nt
Filed under: uncultured bacterium
Lineage: Bacteria
Description: bacterial SSU rRNA
Rfam family: Bacterial small subunit ribosomal RNA
Source: RNAcentral
UACGGAGGUGGCAAGCGUUGUCCGGAUUUACUGGGCGUAAAGGGUGCGUAGGCGGAUACUUAAGUGGGAUGUGAAAUACCUGGGCUUAACUUGGGUGCUGCAUUCCAAACUGGGUGUCUAGAGUGUUGGAGAGGAAAGUGGAAUUCCUAGUGUAGCGGUGAAAUGCGUAGAGAUUAGGAAGAACACCAGUGGCGAAGGCGACUUUCUGGACAAUAACUGACGCUGAGGCUCGAAAGCGUGGGGAGCAAACAGGAUUAGAUACCCUGGUAGUCCACGCCGUAAACGAUGGGUACUAGGUGUAGGAGGGAUCGACUCCUCCUGUGCCGCCGUGAACACAAUAAGUACCCCGCCUGGGGAGUACGGUCGCAAGAUUAAA